AAGUCGUAACAAGGUUUCACACGCGGAGACCCUGCAGCCCCCUCCGGGGGGAGGUAGCGCGACGAUAAAGAACGCUGCUCACUGCAAGUUGGCGCCAGCCAGCGACACGAUCGUAUUGUCGGGGACCUCCUAAAGCUCACGCCACCACCCCAGCGCCGAAAGGCGCUGGCGCCCGGUAAAAGUGCCUGAGAUGCUACAAUGGACGAUCCGCAGCGAAGCCCCUACCGCGCAAGCCACGGGGAACGUCCACAGACUAAGUGGUUGUGGGCGGCGCGUCACCGCGCCGUCUAAGAUAUAGUCGAGCCUGGGGCGAAAGCCCCGGGGUACCAGUCCGUAGGUGAACCUGCGGAAGGAUCAUUACCGAGUUCAUGCCCUCACGGGUAGACCUCCCACCCUUUGUAUACCUUACCUUUUGUUGCUUUGGCGGGCCGCCUAGCUACUGGCUUCGGCUGGUAAGUGCCCGCCAGAGGACCCCAAACCCAAACCCAUUUAUAGUGUCGUCUGAGCAAAAGUUUAAUAUUUNAAAACUUUCAACAACGGGAUCUCUUGGCUCUGGCAUCGAUGNAAGAACGCAGCGAAAUGCGAUAAGUAAUGUGAAUUGCAGAAUUCAGUGAAUCAUCGAAUNNUUUGAACGCACAUUGCGCCCCUUGGUAUUCCCGAGGGGCAUGCCUAUUCGAGCGUCAUUAUCACCCCCUCAAGCUCCGGCUUGGUGUUGAGGCCUGCCGUAAAGGCACCCUUUAAAAUCAGUGGCAGUGCCGUCCGGCUCUAAGCGUAGUAAAUCCAUCGCUAUAGACUCGGGCGGACGCUCGCCAGAACACCCCCAUUUUUAAUGAUUGACCUCGGAUUAGGUAGGGAUACCCGCUGAACUUAAGCAUAUCAAUAAGCGGAGGAAAAGAAACCAACAGGGAUUGCCUCAGUAACGGCGAGUGAAGCGGCAAAAGCUCAAAUUUGAAAUCUGGCUCUCUCAGGGUCCGAGUUGUAAUUUGUAGAAGAUGUUUCGGGUGUGGCUCCGGUUUAAGUUCUUUGGAAUAUUACAUCAUAGAGGGUGAGAAUCCCGUAUGUGACCGGCAGCCUUCGCCCAUGUGAAACUCUUUCGACGAGUCGAGUUGUUUGGGAAUGCAGCUCAAAAUGGGAGGUAUAUUUCUUCUAAAGCUAAAUAUAGGCCAGAGACCGAUAGCGCACAAGUAGAGUGAUCGAAAGAUGAAAAGCACUUUGGAAAGAGAGUUAAACAGUACGUGAAAUUGUUGAAAGGGAAGCGCUUGCAACCAGACUUGCACGCAGUUGAUCAUCCGGGGUUCUCCCCGGGGCACUCGGCUGCGUUCAGGCCAGCAUCGGUUUUGGUGGUUGGAUAAAGGCCUUGGGAAUGUGGCUUCCUUCGGGGAGUGUUAUAGCCCUCGGUGCAAUGCAGCCUACCGGGACCGAGGACCGCGCUUCGGCUAGGAUGCUGGCGUAAUGGUUGUAAGCGACC
RNAcentral lists this ribosomal RNA (1468 nucleotides) under uncultured fungus. RNAcentral's name for it is "eukaryotic LSU rRNA". The stretch from base 835 to 1468 matches the Rfam family "Eukaryotic large subunit ribosomal RNA", at positions 1 to 649 of the family's 3401-position model. Lineage: Eukaryota; Fungi. The record is from RNAcentral.